AGAGUUUGAUCUUGGCUCAGAUUGAACGCUGGCGGCAUGCUUUACACAUGCAAGUCGAACGGCAGCGCGGGGCAACCUGGCGGCGAGUGGCGAACGGGUGAGUAAUAUAUCGGAACGUACCCAGAAGUGGGGGAUAACGUAGCGAAAGUUACGCUAAUACCGCAUACGAUCUACGGAUGAAAGUGGGGGACCUUCGGGCCUCAUGCUUUUGGAGCGGCCGAUAUCUGAUUAGCUAGUUGGUGAGGUAAAGGCUCACCAAGGCGACGAUCAGUAGCUGGUCUGAGAGGACGACCAGCCACACUGGGACUGAGACACGGCCCAGACUCCUACGGGAGGCAGCAGUGGGGAAUUUUGGACAAUGGGCGCAAGCCUGAUCCAGCAAUGCCGCGUGAGUGAAGAAGGCCUUCGGGUUGUAAAGCUCCUUUGUCAGGGAAGAAACGGUUGGGGCUAAUAUCCCCGGCUAAUGACGGUACCUGAAGAAUAAGCACCGGCUAACUACGUGCCAGCAGCCGCGGUAAUACGUAGGGUGCAAGCGUUAAUCGGAAUUACUGGGCGUAAAGCGUGCGCAGGCGGUUUUGUAAGUCUGUCGUGAAAGCCCCGGGCUCAACCUGGGAAUUGCGAUGGAGACUGCAAGGCUUGAAUCUGGCAGAGGGGGGUAGAAUUUCACGUGUAGCAGUGAAAUGCGUAGAGAUGUGAAGGAACACCGAUGGCGAAGGCAGCCCCCUGGGUCAAGAUUGACGCUCAUGCACGAAAGCGUGGGGAGCAAACAGGAUUAGAUACCCUGGUAGUCCACGCCCUAAACGAUGUCUACUAGUUGUCGGGUUUUAAUUAACUUGGUAACGCAGCUAACGCGUGAAGUAGACCGCCUGGGGAGUACGGUCGCAAGAUUAAAACUCAAAGGAAUUGACGGGGACCCGCACAAGCGGUGGAUGAUGUGGAUUAAUUCGAUGCAACGCGAAAAACCUUACCUACCCUUGACAUGGAAGGAAUCCUGGAGAGAUCCGGGAGUGCCCGAAAGGGAACCUUCACACAGGUGCUGCAUGGCUGUCGUCAGCUCGUGUCGUGAGAUGUUGGGUUAAGUCCCGCAACGAGCGCAACCCUUGUCAUUAGUUGCUACGCAAGAGCACUCUAAUGAGACUGCCAGUGACAAACCGGAGGAAGGUGGGGAUGACGUCAAGUCAUCAUGCCCCUUAUGUCCAGGGCUACACACGUGCUACAUUGGCGCCUACAGAGGGAUGCAAUACCGCGAGGUGGAGCAAAUCCCAAAAAGGGCGUCUCGGUUCGGAUUGGAGGCUGCAACUUGCCUCCAUGAAGGUGGAGUUGCUAGUAAUCGCGGAUCAGCAACGCCGCGGUGAAUACGUUCCCGGGCCUUGUACACACCGCCCGU
Molecule: ribosomal RNA, 1387 nt
Filed under: uncultured bacterium
Lineage: Bacteria
Description: bacterial SSU rRNA
Rfam family: Bacterial small subunit ribosomal RNA
Source: RNAcentral